RNAcentral lists this transfer RNA (72 nucleotides) under Alosa alosa (allis shad). RNAcentral's name for it is "tRNA-OTHER". The record is from RNAcentral. Lineage: Eukaryota; Metazoa; Chordata; Actinopteri; Clupeiformes; Clupeidae.
GGCUCUUUGGCGUUGCGGUCAAGCUGCAGGGUUUGUACCCCAGAGACCUGGGUUCAACACCGGGUGGCGUCA